CAACCUGCCCUUCAGAGGGGGACAACAGUUGGAAACGACUGCUAAUACCGCAUACGAUCUAAUCUCGGCAUCGAGGAAAGAUGAAAGGUGGCCUCUAUUUAUAAGCUAUCACUGAAGGAGGGGAUUGCGUCUGAUUAGCUAGUUGGAGGGGUAACGGCCCACCAAGGCGAUGAUCAGUAGCCGGUCUGAGAGGAUGAACGGCCACAUUGGGACUGAGACACGGCCCAGACUCCUACGGGAGGCAGCAUUG
RNAcentral lists this ribosomal RNA (250 nucleotides) under uncultured bacterium. RNAcentral's name for it is "partial 16S ribosomal RNA". It matches the Rfam family "Bacterial small subunit ribosomal RNA", at positions 122 to 353 of the family's 1533-position model. The record is from RNAcentral.